Molecule: long non-coding RNA, 331 nt
Filed under: Solanum tuberosum (potato)
Lineage: Eukaryota; Viridiplantae; Streptophyta; Magnoliopsida; Solanales; Solanaceae
Description: long non-coding RNA (STUB_LNC007416)
Source: RNAcentral
GAUGCGGAAGCUAAAUCAUAAAUAAAUCUGAAAAGAUGGGGAAUACCCAUAUACUAUAGCUGAAUAUAUCAAAUCUGAGAGUUUAAUACAAAAGAAAUAUCAAACUCAAGAUACUAAGCUGAAUCUAACUAUGUCUGAAAUAAGCCUCUAAACUGACUAGAAAUGUUGGGACAUGCCCCAACUAGAUCUAGCAAAACUGAAACUGAAGACUAAAAGCGAUAAAGAUAAACAUGUCACUAGUCCUCGAAGAAUGAGGACUCACCACUGAUGCUGCUGAACUGAAGAUCGGGAAUCGAUCUAAGCGUGAUCUGGAUGCUGAGAACCUGAACCU